RNAcentral lists this ribosomal RNA (460 nucleotides) under uncultured bacterium. RNAcentral's name for it is "partial 16S ribosomal RNA". It matches the Rfam family "Bacterial small subunit ribosomal RNA", at positions 338 to 795 of the family's 1533-position model. The record is from RNAcentral.
CCUACGGGUGGCAGCAGUGAGGAAUAUUGGUCAAUGGACGAGAGUCUGAACCAGCCAAGUAGCGUGAAGGAUGACUGCCCUAUGGGUUGUAAACUUCUUUUAUAUGGGAAUAAAAUGUUCCACGUGUGGGAUUUUGUAUGUACCAUAUGAAUAAGGAUCGGCUAACUCCGUGCCAGCAGCCGCGGUAAUACGGAGGAUCCGAGCGUUAUCCGGAUUUAUUGGGUUUAAAGGGAGCGUAGGUGGAUUGUUAAGUCAGUUGUGAAAGUUUGCGGCUCAACCGUAAAAUUGCAGUUGAGACUGGCAGUCGUGAGUACAGUAGAGGUGGGCGGAAUUCGUGGUGUAGCGGUGAAAUGCUUAGAUAUCACGAAGAACUCCGAUUGAGAAGGCAGCUCACUGGACUGCAACUGACACUGAGGCUCGAAAGUGUGGGUAUCAAACAGGAUUAGAUAACCGAGUAGUC